UACGGAGGGGGUUAGCGUUGUUCGGAAUUACUGGGCGUAAAGCGCAAGUAGGCGGAUUGAUAAGUUGGGGGUGAAAUCCCGGGGCUCAACCCUGGAACUGCCUCCAAAACUAUCAGUCUUGAGUUCGAGAGAGGUGAGUGGAAUUCCGAGUGUAGAGGUGAAAUUCGUAGAUAUUCGGAGGAACACGAGUGGCGAAGGCGGCUCACUGGCUCGAUACUGACGCUGAGGUGCGAAAGCGUGGGGAGCAAACAGG
RNAcentral lists this ribosomal RNA (253 nucleotides) under uncultured bacterium. RNAcentral's name for it is "partial 16S ribosomal RNA". It matches the Rfam family "Bacterial small subunit ribosomal RNA", at positions 524 to 776 of the family's 1533-position model. The record is from RNAcentral.